RNAcentral lists this ribosomal RNA (175 nucleotides) under uncultured Desulfuromonas sp. RNAcentral's name for it is "partial 16S ribosomal RNA". It matches the Rfam family "Bacterial small subunit ribosomal RNA", at positions 334 to 525 of the family's 1533-position model. Lineage: Bacteria; Pseudomonadati; Thermodesulfobacteriota; Desulfuromonadia; Desulfuromonadales; Desulfuromonadaceae. RNAcentral also lists the same sequence under 1 other name. The record is from RNAcentral.
UACUCCUACGGGAGGCAGCAGUGAGGGAUUUUCGGCAAUGGGCGAAAGCCUGACCGAGCGACGCCGCGUGAGCGAAGAAGGCCUUCGGGUCGUAAAGCUCUGUCUAGGGGGACGAGAGAGGACGGUACCCCUGGAGGAAGCCACGGCUAACUACGUGCCAGCAGCCGCGGUAAUA